CCUACGGGAGACUGCAGUCGAGAAUCAUUCACAAUGGGGGAAACCCUGAUGGUGCGACGCCGCGUGGGGGAAUGAAGGUCUUCGGAUUGUAAACCCCUGUCAUGUGGGAGCAAAUUAAAAAGAUAGUACCACAAGAGGAAGAGACGGCUAACUCUGUGCCAGCAGCCGCGGUAAUACAGAGGUCUCAAGCGUUGUUCGGAAUCACUGGGCGUAAGGCGUGCGUAGGCUGUUUCGUAAGUCGUGUGUGAAAGGCGCGGGCUCAACCCGCGGACGGCACAUGAUACUGGGAGACUAGAGUAAUGGAGGGGGAACCGGAAUUCUCGGUGUAGCAGUGAAAUGCGUAGAUAUCGAGAGGAACACUCGUGGCGAAGGCGGGUUCCUGGACAUUAACUGACGCUGAGGCACGAAGGCCAGGGGAGCGAAAGGGAUUAGAUACCCUAGUAGUC
This 446-nucleotide ribosomal RNA is filed under the name uncultured bacterium. Its description in RNAcentral is "partial 16S ribosomal RNA". It matches the Rfam family "Bacterial small subunit ribosomal RNA", at positions 338 to 795 of the family's 1533-position model. The record is from RNAcentral.